UACGUAGGUGGCAAGCGUUAUCCGGAUUUACUGGGUGUAAAGGGCGUGUAGGCGGGACUGCAAGUCAGAUGUGAAAAUUAUGGGCUCAACCCAUAACCUGCAUUUGAAACUGUAGUUCUUGAGUGAUGGAGAGGCAGGCGGAAUGCCUAGUGUAGCGGUGAAAUGCGUAGAUAUUAGGAGGAACACCAGUGGCGAAGGCGGCCUGCUGGGCUUUAACUGACGCUGAGGCACGAAAGCAUGGGGAGCAAACAGG
RNAcentral lists this ribosomal RNA (253 nucleotides) under uncultured Oscillospira sp. Its description in RNAcentral is "partial 16S ribosomal RNA". It matches the Rfam family "Bacterial small subunit ribosomal RNA", at positions 524 to 776 of the family's 1533-position model. Lineage: Bacteria; Bacillati; Bacillota; Clostridia; Eubacteriales; Oscillospiraceae. The record is from RNAcentral.